RNAcentral lists this long non-coding RNA (594 nucleotides) under Homo sapiens (human). RNAcentral describes it as "non-protein coding lnc-PPP1R9B-6:1". The record is from RNAcentral. Lineage: Eukaryota; Metazoa; Chordata; Mammalia; Primates; Hominidae.
GCAGACUGUCCCUCAAUUUGGGAUUGUCUCAUUAGAUUAGAUGCAGGGAUGCAUCUUUGCAGGAAUGUCUUAAAAGCAAUGUUAUUCUUCUCAGCACAUCACACCAGGAAGUGCAUGAUGUCAGUUUCUUCCAUCCUCAGUGCCGUCUUCUGCCUUUCAAUUCACUGUCCUCACUCUGACUUCUCUUGUUUGUUCUAGAACUUUGCUCCCCAGCUGUCUUAUGGCUAUGAUGAGAAAUCAACCGGAGGAAUUUCCGUGCCUGGCCCCAUGGGUCCCUCUGGUCCUCGUGGUCUCCCUGGCCCCCCUGGUGCACCUGGUCCCCAAGGCUUCCAAGGUCCCCCUGGUGAGCCUGGCGAGCCUGGAGCUUCAGGUCCCAUGGGUCCCCGAGGUCCCCCAGGUCCCCCUGGAAAGAAUGGAGAUGAUGGGGAAGCUGGAAAACCUGGUCGUCCUGGUGAGCGUGGGCCUCCUGGGCCUCAGGGUGCUCGAGGAUUGCCCGGAACAGCUGGCCUCCCUGGAAUGAAGGGACACAGAGGUUUCAGUGGUUUGGAUGGUGCCAAGGGAGAUGCUGGUCCUGCUGGUCCUAAGGGUGAGCCU